Molecule: long non-coding RNA, 6040 nt
Organism: Eriocheir sinensis (Chinese mitten crab)
Lineage: Eukaryota; Metazoa; Arthropoda; Malacostraca; Decapoda; Varunidae
Exons: 8
Source: RefSeq, a predicted model, not a curated record
AUGGUAAAUUUGGCAGGGUCAGCGCGUCGGUUCUUUCCUGGAAUAUUCGUGCAUUUAAAAUGUCCUUCAGCUUUACGGUUUUGAGCUCUAUUAUUGUGUUUUUAUAGUCAUUAAUUCAUAGUUCGUCCCUGCGUAAGACCAUUAAUAAGCGUGGUUGAGAUACUAAGCUUGGCGGGGAAGCGAGCGUUGGCGCCAUUCCCGGGUCGACCUCCAUCCCAAGCAGACGCACGGCAAGACGCUCCUCACGAUGGCGCCAAAUAUUCACGAUUAUAACGCCGCAGCCCGGUUAUUUGGCAAUAGCACUACUUAAUUAAGUUGCCCUGACACAACAUGUAAGGGGCAGAAACAGAAGAUUACACCACCCAAUACCUACCACGACAUGCUACUGCACACAAUACUAGCACAGCCAUACCAAGAAAACAAGGUGGACAUUUUAGAACUAUUGUUAUGUAAAGAAGCAAUAAGACUGUGAAGUCAAGAAAGACCUGAUCAGAAGAAUGGGGAAGAAGAGAAGAAGAAAAGAAAACUGACCUCUUUUACAAUACACAGGUUACUGGACCCCUCCCUUUUACACAGACUACUACUACUACUGCUACUACUACUACUACUACUACUACUACUACCAUAUUGCAGCUUUAAUCAAGAAACUUGAAACAUGCAUAAACAGAAGGAAGGAAAUUAAAUAUAUGCAAGAAUUUUGGAAGAAUCACUUAAAAUCCGAGAAGAGACAGCAGCACUCAACCAGGCACAAGAAAAUCAAGAAGUGGAGGCUCCGAACUGCACUGAACUGAACUGUAAACUUUAUCAGAAGGGAGGAUAUUAAAUAUACUCAAGAAUUUUAGAAGAAUCGCUUAAAAAUCAGAGAAGAGAAGGCAGCACGACCAGGCACAAGAAGACCAUUUAGAGGGGCAAAGGCAACCCUCCGAACAGAACUGGAAACAAACAGAACGGAGGAAAUUAAAUAUACUCAAGACUUUUAGAAGAAUCGCUUAAAAUUGGAGAAGAAAAGGCAGCACAACCAGGCACAAGAAGACCAUUUAGAGGGGCCGCUGCAAAGGCACUCCCUCCGAACUACACUGCACUGAACUGACCUGGUUACGGCGCCUGUACAAGUGACCCGGGAUGGAGUAUUGGCGGCAGGGCAGCUCUACGAAAGCUGCUGUGGGAGUGCUGCCCUCCACAGCAAGUAAUGGGCUGCCCUGCCCAGACCACAGCAAGAGGAGGAAGAGCUCUGCAUUACUAAGUUAAGUACCUCACUAUGACAUUCUGAGGGUUUGGCCUCAUUUUUGCCUUCUAUUUAAAACUUUUUACUUUCUAAUGAACCUUAAUCUUUUUCUCAGCCUGCCUCCUCCUCCUCCUCCUCCUUCAACUUCCUUUACCUCCUUGUGUGAAUCUGUCCGUCCCGAGAUCCGGCGAGACCAUCCCGACGUCGUAACACCCGUUUGGGAGUGGGGGGACUCAUGAAGCUGUCGGCGGCAGCCCUAAGGUGGGGACGGUUGCGCCGACACCUCCACUCCGUUUCGGCGGAAUGUGGCUGGCUAGGGUGGCCUGAACCACUGUCUGGGUUGUUUGUCGUUCAGUCGGAUUGAGGAUCUGCCUCCCUUGAGGUGCACAUGUCAUAGUGGUGGCAGAAGAGAGAAUGAGUGAAGCUGAUGUCAUCCCGACGUCGUAACACCGUUGGGCGGGGCGGGGCUCUCAUGUCAAGUCUCCCCGCGGUGCACAUGUCACAGAGGUGCAAACAGCAUGGCCUUCUUUCCUAUCUUUUCCCCCUCCUCCUUCUCCACCCCCUCCCCCACACACACCUCCUGCUGUUAUAUCGUCACCCUCAUAAAGUAAUUGCCUAAGUCAUUUUUCAGUGAUUUCCAUUUUUGUUAACUUGUCUUAGAUAUUCAGGGUUUGAGUGUUCUAGAAUUGCCUUUUUAUUUCUUCCUAAAUCUUAAGCCAAAUGAGAUGAUGACGUUCUCUUCUUGAAAAAUAGAAAAUAACGACUUGGGCGGUUUCUUUACGAAGGUGGCGAGAUUGUAAUAGGUUUUGCACCCUCUAUUUAGGGAUGUGCACUAAUUUUUGUCUCUUCUCUUCCCCUCCUCCUCCCCUGGCUGGCCGGGGAACGGAGGAGGAGCACUAGGACGAGGAGGUGAAGCGAGGCGGAGGGAGAGACGACUCGAGCACAGGGAGGCAAGAGACAAGAAGCAGAGACGCAGGAACCGGAAGCUGCUGUGGGAGUGCUGCCCUCCACAGCAAGCAAGGGGCUGCCCUGCCCAGACCACAGCAAGAGGAGGAAGAGCUCUGCAUUACUAAGUUAAGUACCUCACUAUGACAUUCUGAGGGUUUGGCUUCAUUUUUGCCUUCUAUUAAAAGCUUUUUACUUUCUAACGAACCUUAAUCUUUUCUCAGCCUGCCUCCUCCUCCUCCUCCUCCUUCAACUUCCUUUACCUCCUUGUGUGAAUCUGUCCGUCCCGAGAUCCGGCGAGACCAUCCCGACGUCGUAACACCCGUUUGGGAGUGGGGGGACUCAUGAAGCUGGGGGCGGCAGCCCUAAGGUGGGGAGGGUCGCGCCGACACCUCCACUCCGUUUCGGCGGAAUGUGGCUGGCUAGGGUGGCCUGAACCACUGUCUGGGUUGUUUGUCAUUCAGUCGGAUUGAGGAUCUGCCUCCCUUGAGGUGCACAUGUCAUAGUGGUGGCAGAAGAGUGUGUGAAUGAAGCUGAUGUCAUCCCGACGUCGUAACACCGUUGGGCGGGGCGGGGCUCUCAUGUCAAGUCUCCCCGCGGUGCACAUGUCACAGAGGUGCAAAGAGCAUGGCCUUCUUUCCUAUCUUUUCCCCCUCCUCCUCCUCCACCCCCUCCCCCACACACCUCCUGCUGUUAUAUCGUCACCCUCAUAAAGUAAUUGCCUAAGUCAUUUUUCAGUGAUUUCCAUUUUUGUUAAGUUGUCUUAGAUAUUCAGGGUUUGAGUGUUCUACAAUUGCCCUUUUUAUUUCUGCCUAAAUCUUAAGCCAAAUGAGAUGAUGACAUUCUCUUCUUGAAAAAUAGAAAAUAACGACUUGGGCGGUUUCUUUACGAAGGUGGCGAGAUUGUAAUAGGUUUUGCACCCUCUAUUUAGGGAUGUGCACUAAUUUUCGUCUCUUCUCUUCCCCUCCUCCUCCCCUGGCUGGCCGGGGAACGGAGGAGGAGCACUAGGACGAGGAGGUGAAGGGAGGCGGAGGGAGAGACGACUCAAGCACGAGGAGGCAAGAGACAAGAAGCAGAGACGCAGGAAUGGAAAGGCAGCCAGAUGGUCGAUGCUGUGAAGAGGAGGAAGAUGACUGCAGGAGGCGGUGUGUGUGUGUUGGGGAAGGAGACAACGGCACCACCCUCACACACAGCUGGUUAAGGCCUGCAAGAGAGCCUAGUCAAUGAAGAGGAAAAGAAGAAGAAAGAAUAAAGAAGACAAGAAGAAAGAAGAAAGAAGAGACAAAACAGGAGGAGGGGAUAUUUUUUCUGUCUAUACCUGAAGUGUGAUGAAUUUACAAAGGGUAUAUUUAAGUCUGAUAUAACGCGGUGCAUUUAAAUAAGGUAUAUUUAACGGUACCAGUGUGUAGCCUACUUUUGCCUGGAGUUGGAGACGGUAAAAUGCUCUCCGACUCCUUUAUUGUGGUGCUGUGUGGUUUGUUUACUGUGGUGCGAUGUGGUUCGUUUACUGUGGUGCGGUGUGGCUCGUUAACUAAGGUGAGGUAUGGUUCGUUUAUUGUAGUGCGGUAUGGUUCGUUUACUGUGGUGCGGUGUGGCUCGUUAAUUAAGGUGAGGUGUGGUUCAUUUAUUGUGGUGCGGUGUGGUUCGUUAAUUAAGGUGAGGUAUGGUUCGUUUAUUGUAGUGCUGUAUGGUUCGUUUACUGUGGUGCGGUGCGGCUCGUUAAUUAAGGUGAGGUGUGGUUCAUUUAUUGUGGUGCGGUGUGGUUCGUUAAUUAAGGUGAGGUAUGGUUCGUUUAUUGUAGUGCGGUAUGGUUCGUUUACUGUGGUGCGGUGUGGCUCGUUAAUUAAGGUGAGGCGUGGUUCAUUUAUUGUGGUGCGAUGUGGCGUUGCGGGCUUUACUUUCCCUACCACUGCACCAGACAAGGGUAAGGGGGAGGGGGUGGAGUCAAAUUUUUUUAUAUCCGACUCCACACCUGUGUUAGAGUGUAAGAGUAUUGAUCGAAUAUAUUUAGGUGCUGGGUGAUACUGUGGUGCUCUCGUCGCGGCAACCCAUUCUGCUUCUACAUAUUAACCCGUACUGCUGCAUGACGCAUAGCAACCCGUGUUUUUUCUGCUGCCGCAACGACCCGUACUGCUAACGCAUAAUGACCUGUGCUGCUUCUGCUAUUUUCUGAUCAAAGAUCAAAGAGAGGAUUAGGCCUUCAGGGGACACCUCUUAAAUAAAAACGCGCCUGGGACUUUUACCUCAGAGGUGGUGUGGAAAAAAAGUCCAGUCACGAAAAUAAGUAUCUUAUACUCCAUGAAAGUGUCUCAGUCUUAUGAGAACACAAAGGUUGAGAGGGCUCAGACAUUCUGUUGUUUACUGCACACACUCCCAUGUUAGCAGUAAGGGUACUAAAUUCUGAUCUCUGUACAAAACAACCAAAUAAUAAGGAAAAGAAAGUUGAAUAAAAUGUUUGCCUGCAUUCUCCGUCAGCAGCGUAGACGUAACAAGGGUUGAAAAAAUGACUUAUUUAUUACAGCCGCUGGCCAACGCCUUGACCCCAGAGGCUUUGUGUUUGUCUCCGCGUCCUCCGCACUACACUGCACAGAAUCUGGCGAGCCUGGGUUGUGACAGCUAUUUCCCAAAGCCUCCAAGGAUACCAGUCAGGCUUAUGAGUGUUUUUCGUGUUGUUGGGGAAGCUCGCAAAUCUACACCUGGAAAUACUACUACCAACACAACCCAUAUGAAAGCCUUUCCUAAAACAUAAAACCUCUACCAGUGCCUUACCAGACGGAACCAAAGCUUACCAAAUACCCAAAAAUCUCUACUAUUUGUGGUUGACUCAAGGUAUUGAAUUUUCACUUAUUUUUUUUACACUGAUGUUAGUGUCCCUUAUAUGUCUUGUUGGGUCUGUUAUUUGUUCUAUAUAUAAGGUAUUGAAUUUGCACUUAUUUUUUAUAAUGACGUUAGUGUCCCUCAUAUGUCGUGUCAUUGAGGGAGUGUUUGGGUCUAUUAUUUGUUCUAUAUAUAAGGUAUUGAAUUUCCACUGAUUUUGUAUACUUAUGUUACUGUCCCUCAUAUGUUGUGUCAUUGAGGGAGUGUUUGGGUCUAUCAUUUUUUAUGUUUUGAUGCCCCUUUCAUAUAUCUAAAUAAUGACAUCCACCUUAAAAUAAAUGUAUGUGUCUGUGGUCAUCCCAAAACUGAAGGUUGGUAUCUACUCCACUGUUUUUCAUGUUUUCUCGGACAGUUCAUAUUAUUAGCAAAUGUUUUUACCUCUGCUGUGAUUGGCACGGAUUUCGCCUUCACUGGUAGCCUGGUAACAUGUACUCCCAGAUCAUUCUCGGCCUCUGUGGUGGAUAGUUGAGUGCUUCCCAUGUGGUAUUGGUAUGCUGGAUAUCCCCUCCCAAGGUGCAGGACUAUAUAUUUUUCUUCAUUGAAUUGUAGCAGCCACUUUUUGCUCCACUCCUGUAGCUUGGUGAUGUCUUCUUGUAGGAAAUCCACAGUGAAGGGUUUAAGCAAGUGAGAUUUUACCCUCCCAUGACCAAUGUACAGAAGGGACCCUGUAGUUGUUUGAAGGAAUAUUACCGGAUUGAUUAACUAGAUGGUACAUAUUAGAUUAGGGCAAAAUAUGAGAAUGGGGGCAGGAGACUGGCUUCAACGAGAGGGUAUAAUAUAGAUUGACCUUGUAGUUAUUGAAGGAAUAUUACUGGACUUGGGAGAGAGGGUGGAGGGAGGAGGAGAAAUAUUGAUAACAGACGAUAGUGAUCCUUUAUAUGGUGAUGAAGGGAAUGGUGAUGGGAAGGUGAUAGGUACUGGUGAUGAUAAUGGUGAUGUUAUAGUGAUGGAGGGAGGGAUGUGGCAGGUGGUUGGAUGAGAGGUGAAGGGGGA